GCGCCCAUAGCUCAGCUGGAUAGAGCGUUGGACUACGAAUCCAAAGGUCGCAGGUUCGACUCCUGCUGGGCGCGCCA
RNAcentral lists this transfer RNA (77 nucleotides) under Syntrophaceae bacterium. Its description in RNAcentral is "tRNA-Arg". It matches the Rfam family "tRNA". From Rfam's summary of the family: Transfer RNA (tRNA) molecules are approximately 80 nucleotides in length. Their secondary structure includes four short double-helical elements and three loops (D, anti-codon, and T loops). Further hydrogen bonds mediate the characteristic L-shaped molecular structure. tRNAs have two regions of fundamental functional importance: the anti-codon, which is responsible for specific mRNA codon recognition, and the 3' end, to which the tRNAs corresponding amino acid is attached (by aminoacyl-tRNA synthetases). tRNAs cope with the degeneracy of the genetic code in two manners: having more than one tRNA (with a specific anti-codon) for a particular amino acid; and 'wobble' base-pairing, i.e. permitting non-standard base-pairing at the 3rd anti-codon position. Lineage: Bacteria; Pseudomonadati; Thermodesulfobacteriota; Syntrophia; Syntrophales; Syntrophaceae. The record is from RNAcentral.